AAAAAGGCGAUGAACGGAAAGAGUAGGUUGUUGGUUUGCCGCAGAGAGGGAGUGUCACCGGCUGGAAGCAUUCCUGGCAGAUAUGGCUGAAAGUGCCUCCGGGAGCUGAUCGGGUGAGGGGAGUUUUCCUGUAGCCGGGUACGUUUACGCACGUUACGUGUUUUGAGUGCAGGUAUUAACCUGAAUUAGAGUGGAACCGCGGCUUCAACCGUCUCUGUU
Molecule: non-coding RNA, 219 nt
Filed under: Clostridium sp.
Lineage: Bacteria; Bacillati; Bacillota; Clostridia; Eubacteriales; Clostridiaceae
Description: T-box sequence
Rfam family: T-box leader
About the family: Uncharged tRNA acts as the effector for transcription antitermination of genes in the T-box leader family.
Source: RNAcentral